GACGAACGCUGGCGGCGUGCUUAACACAUGCAAGUCGAACGGAAAGGCCCUGCUUUUGUGGGGUGCUCGAGUGGCGAACGGGUGAGUAACACGUGAGUAACCUGCCCUUGACUUUGGGAUAACUUCAGGAAACUGGGGCUCAUACCGGAUAGGAGCUCCUGCUGCAUGGUGGGGGUUGGAAAGUUUCGGCGGUUGGGGAUGGACUCGCGGCUUAUCAGCUUGUUGGUGGGGUAGUGGCUUACCAAGGCUUUGACGGGUAGCCGGCCUGAGAGGGUGACCGGCCACAUGGGGACUGAGAUACGGCCCAGACUCCUACGGGAGGCAGCAGUGGGGAAUAUUGCACAAUGGGCGGAAGCCGGAUGCAGCAACGCCGCGUGCGGGAUGACGGCCUUCGGGUUGUAAACCGCUUGCGCCUGUGACGAAGCGUGAGUGACGGUAAUGGGUAAAGAAGCACCGGGUAACUACGUG
RNAcentral lists this ribosomal RNA (468 nucleotides) under uncultured bacterium. RNAcentral describes it as "partial 16S ribosomal RNA". It matches the Rfam family "Bacterial small subunit ribosomal RNA", at positions 28 to 507 of the family's 1533-position model. The record is from RNAcentral.